Drosophila miranda is the source of this 1108-nucleotide long non-coding RNA. RefSeq lists it as uncharacterized. The record is from RefSeq and is a predicted model, not a curated record. NCBI's taxonomy places the organism in Eukaryota, Metazoa, Arthropoda, Insecta, Diptera, Drosophilidae. The transcript has 2 exons.
UUCCCCGCGCUGAUACCCACUGACCCCCUCCUGGACACAGAGCCCUGACCACUAACUCCACGAGGAAUACUAACCCCGUUUGGCCAAGAUUGCAACUUUGUUGUUCCGCUGCGUGCGUUUUAGUCUACUAAACAGAGCUAUGCUACUUGAGCACGGGUCCUAAACUAAACCAGAACCGCACUUCUCUUUCCACACAGAUGCCAACACGGCUGAUUUACCGGCCGGCGUGCUCUACCGAGUGAAGGCCACCUACGGCUACGUGAAGGAGGAUGUGGACGAGCUGAGCUUCGAAAUUGGGGACACCAUUCGCGUGAUCGAGUACGAUGAUCCCGAGGAUCAGGAGGAGGGCUGGCUAAUGGGUCAGAAGGAGGGCACCAGCGAGAAGGGCCUCUUCCCCGCCAACUUCACGCGCCCCAUCUGAGCGGAGGUGGACGACCGGAGCCGGAGCUGAGAACCAAUCCACCAAACAGCCACACAAACUGCAGUCCCCACGCCAUCACACCCCACCCAACAUUUUGUUAAACCAUAAAUGUCUACAAAACGGAAAUCCCAAUCCAAACAAUUGGCCAAACUUUCAUUAUUAAAAUUGUCUUGUUCUGUGAAACGCAUUCUUUCGAUUAGCAAUCCGUCGAUUGUUAGAGCAGUGCUUCCAGUUAUUAUUAAUUAUUAUUGUUGAACGCCAUGGCAGACCACACCACACCACGCUAAGGAAUAUCGAAGCGAUUGGCAUUUUGGCACACACCACAUUUUGAGGACGUUUCAAAUUUUAUUUUCUAGUUUUAUUAGUUUCUAGUUUAUUAGUUUUCUAGUUAUAUUAUUUGUUAAAACUACUAUUGUGCUCAUAAUUAAUGCGAACAAAGUGUAAUAAGUUAAAGGCAACACACACAACAUGGAGGAGAAUAUAACCUUAACCUGAACAUUUUGUAUGUGUAUUUUGCAAAUAUGUAGUACGAGUUUUUUAUAGUCAAUUGUGUGUAUCGUGUAUCUGGAGUGAAUCGGGAUGGCCAGUAGAAAUUCCAGUCUGUUGACUCCAGGACAGGACUUGGAUUUUGAUUUGGAAAUGGAAAUUGUUUUCAGAUAGGAACUUGUAAUUGUAUUUUUUUCUUUA